GGUGUACAGUUGGCGGGUUUCCGGAAGAACUACAUUUCACAUAAUGCAUGUUUUCCCGGGACAUUGACGUAGAGGAACGACCGUGAGUUUGAAUUUUCUCGUGGAGUCCGAAACGCUCCUAUAUGGUCCGAAAGCAUAACGUUAACUUAUCCCUGCUUGACAGUUUCUGCCGGCUGUUGUUUUCGCUGGUAAUGCAUGUAAAGUAACGUUUACUUAUUUGUAAGUGUCCGCGUUAAACAGUAAGUAUUUCACGUUGACAAGCUGUGUGUGUGUGUGCAGCGUGAAUCUAACAAUGCUAAACAACAUAAUGUCAGUGUGUUAUCAUGAAACCAACAAGGUCUUUGUGUGUAUUUCUUUCCAGGCUCGAGUGUUUGGUUGUGAGAUGAUCAUCUAGGAAUCUUUUUUUAAGUUCAGAUAUUGGACUUGAGUGCUACAGAGAGUCAGCGUUUCACCAUCAGACAGUUGCCAAUAGAGUUUCACCGAAUCAACAACGUUAACCUGCGCAAUCAAUUCUACAAGGAGCUGGACAGACACAUGCCUAAACUCAUCUCCUUGUUCAGAGACAAGGCCACCAAGACUGUCAAGACAGCGGAGGAGCUAGCCAAACUCAUGAGGAUUUAUGACCUUCAGCAACAACGUGAUGUAAAUAUGAGACGGGACCUCAUCCUCGGUGCACUUCCUGUCUACCUGCAUGAAGAUUCUUUAAGUUCUUCAGGACCUGUAAUUCAGGAGUUGGUCCAGACCUCACCGAUACUCCAGUGUCUCUCCUGACAGUCGUAACAGAUAACACUACUGAUGCAGCCCUCUUCUGCCCUGAGAGUAUCUGUCGUGAAGGAUAAAAUACUUGCAAGCUCCUUUUGUGUCUUUUUAAAAGCACAUUGUUGAAUAAAAAAAGUUGCUAAAUUGUCA
Molecule: RNA transcript, 909 nt
Organism: Pimephales promelas (fathead minnow)
Lineage: Eukaryota; Metazoa; Chordata; Actinopteri; Cypriniformes; Leuciscidae
Source: RefSeq, a predicted model, not a curated record